RNAcentral lists this ribosomal RNA (439 nucleotides) under uncultured bacterium. Its description in RNAcentral is "partial 16S ribosomal RNA". It matches the Rfam family "Bacterial small subunit ribosomal RNA", at positions 339 to 795 of the family's 1533-position model. The record is from RNAcentral.
CUACGGGACGCAGCAGUGAGGAAUAUUGCACAAUGGGGGGAACCCUGAUGCAGCAACGCCGCGUGGAGGAUGACGCAUUUCGGUGUGUAAACUCCUUUUAUAUGUCAAGAAAAUGACGGUAGCAUAUGAAUAAGCACCGGCUAACUCCGUGCCAGCAGCCGCGGUAAUACGGAGGGUGUAAGCGUUACUCGGAAUCACUGGGCGUAAAGGACGCGUAGGCGGGUUGGAAAGUCAGGUGUGAAAUCCUACAGCUUAACUGUAGAACUGCACUUGAAACUUCUAAUCUAGAGUAUGGGAGGGGGAGAUGGAAUUAGUGGUGUAGGGGUAAAAUCCGUAGAUAUCACUAGGAAUACCUAAAGCGAAGGCGAUCUCCUGGGACAUUACUGACGCUAAGGCGUGAAAGCGUGGGGAGCAAACAGGAUUAGAUACCCCCAUAGUC